Non-coding RNA from Anas platyrhynchos (mallard), 2159 nucleotides. Lineage: Eukaryota; Metazoa; Chordata; Aves; Anseriformes; Anatidae. The record is from RefSeq and is a predicted model, not a curated record.
UCACCCCUCGUCCCCCCCCCCCCGGUGGCCCCGUCCCUCUCUUCGUCUCCUCCGCUGGACGUCCUGGCCCUAUAACAUCCCCUGCUGCCCCUCAAGGCGUCCCCUCGGCCGGGAGAAGGGGAAGGGCCGAGCGAGACUUUCCAUUCUGUGCAAGGCACCUGAGAAUUAUUUUCCAGUUGAAGGCUCUUCCUGGUAAGCCACAUGACGGUCAGAAGUCUCACUGGCUGCAGUGAAGUUAACACUGGGAUAACUUCUGCAGAUCAAACCCUACAAUUUGGAAAUUACACCUCUGACUCAAGCUCCUUGUUGUAGCUCCCUGUGCCUGCAGAGAGCCCUGGUGGCUCUAAGAUGCCAAACCGCAGCUCCUGCCCGGGCAGGGUUUCACUUGCAUCUAAACACAACCAACCACCUUCAUGGCGGCACAUCAGGGUUAUGCUGCACAACUGCACUUGAGCAGUUGUACUUGGCCAUCCUCAGUUCCAGCUCACAGCGAGAGCAUCAUGGUGUUUUUGAUUGCGUGCCUUUCCAGUACAACACUCUAACAGCUAAUCCAGCCAGCCUUAAAAUUCAGUGGGAAUCUCUCCACUGAUUCAAGCAGCAGUGGCAUCGAGAGAGCAAGAAAUGGGAUUCUGACCUGUUCAAAUUUACAAGGAUCUUGAAGCUGGAGUUGCCAUUCCCAAACUCACAUUAUUCCCAGACUCUCAAAUUCACUCAUGUUUCUUUCCUCAGUAGCCCAUAGAACCCAUCUUAGAAGUAGCACGUACUGUAUUUCUUCAGGCAUUUAAUCCCUUGUUCCAGAAAGCAACCAGCCAGCUGUAUCGUCACUACAGGAAGUUAAAACUCUUUCACAAAAGCAUGUCUGUCUGGAUCCAUCAUAGCUGAAGGGGCUUUCCAUGUACAGGCUAUGCAGAAUCUAUGAUAAUUACUUUCAUAUAAUACUUGUGGCUGAAUCCUCACAACUACUUGUAUGUCAAUUACCUGAAAAAAGAGGCCUGUGUAGUUCUGGGAGGUAGUCACAUCUCUGGAACAUCCACAGCAGCAAGAAACUGUAUGAAUCCUGUGAAAUUUACACGUAGCAAAACAGUAUUUCUAGGCCUGUAGGACAGAACUGCCUUAAUGCAGAUCUUUGAUUGUAACAAUCACUAGCAGCAUUGUCAUCAGCAGCUUCUUAAAUAAUGAGAUUAAACUGUCAUAAAGCAUAGGAUGCUCAUUACUGUUUUAGGGUACAAUACCCAGUGACUGUUACCAGACCUCAGAAGACUAGCUCAUUUCCAGAGACAUUUGUUGUGUGCUAGAAGUAUGCAAUCAGUGACACAACACCAGCUGCACUGAUGUGACCUAUCAGGAUUCACUGGCAUUUGAAUAAGCUCAUAUAUACCAAAGAUGGCCACAGUAGGAAGUGUCAAUAAAUAUAAGAAUGUAAUACUUUGUAACAUAAAACAGAGGUGCAAUUUCCACUCGAUUCAUUAAAAAAUGUUAGCAAACUUCUUUUUGUAUGUACACUGAUGAAACAUCCAUCUCCCCUAGAUUGUUUAAAAUUCUUGGGUGAAUAUUACAAAAUAGGCUAUUCUGAUUGUAUUUUGAGAGGUCAGUGGAGAAACAACAAUAAGUGUACCUCAUAGUUUCCUUGGAUCAAUGAUUCUUCUCUAUAGCAUGCUGUCAUUGAAUGCUAGCCAUGCAGACCACAGGAAAGAGCGGGAUGACAACAAGCUGUGAUUCAUGCCAGAAUGUGGGACGUAGCAUGCUGAAAACAGAAAAAAAAUAAAUAAAAGCCCAGAUUUUUUAAAGAGUUUUCCAGGUGUUAAUUGUUAAUUGUUCAGCAGCAAUAACCAUCUCAACACAAAUAAUAUCCAGGAAUUAGAGGCUCAAGGUUGCAUUUCAGGCCACAGGCUCUUCACAGCUUGUUACUAAUCUGCUGGAAAUUCCCUGAAUGACAGCUGCGGUUGCCUAAUUGUUUCUAUAGGUAAAUGUGUUUAUUCUACAGGCUUAUGUUAAAGCUAUAUGCGUGACAGGAUUAUAAAACAGGGUAGGUGUUGCUCCUGGGCUAAAGCUUCCACCAUACUUUCAUCUGAAAGUUAAUUUGUGCAUCUGAGUCAUAAAACCUCUUCAAAAGGAAGCAUAAGAAAGAAGUGUUUCCACAUCCUCAUAAUCAAGUUUUU